This 491-nucleotide ribosomal RNA is filed under the name uncultured bacterium. RNAcentral describes it as "partial 16S ribosomal RNA". It matches the Rfam family "Bacterial small subunit ribosomal RNA", at positions 29 to 507 of the family's 1533-position model. The record is from RNAcentral.
GUGAACGCUGGCGGUAGGCCUAACACAUGCAAGUCGAACGGCAGCACAGUAAGAGCUUGCUCCUACGGGUGGCGAGUGGCGGACGGGUGAGGAAUACAUCGGAAUCUACUUUUUCGUGGGGGAUAACGUAGGGAAACUUACGCUAAUACCGCAUACGACCUACGGGUGAAAGCAGGGGAUCUUCGGACCUUGCGCGAUUGAAUGAGCCGAUGUCGGAUUAGCUAGUUGGCGGGGUAAAGGCCCACCAAGGCGACGAUCCGUAGCUGGUCUGAGAGGAUGAUCAGCCACACUGGAACUGAGACACGGUCCAGACUCCUACGGGAGGCAGCAGUGGGGAAUACUGGACAAUGGGCGCAAGCCUGAUCCAGCCAUACCGCGUGGGUGAAGAAGGCCUUCGGGUUGUAAAGCCCUUUUGUUGGGAAAGAAAAGCAGCAGGUUAAUACCCCGCUGUUCUGACGGUACCCAAAGAAUAAGCACCGGCUAACUUCGUG